CUCCUCCCCGCUUCAGAAGACUUGUGGCCUCACGGAUCGUGCUCCGAAUCAAAGUUCGGGAACUGGGACUUCGGGAACUGGGACUUAAGAAACUAGUAAUCCUCCCAAGUGGCUGCUCCUUCGUCCAAGUUUUCCCACUUCACCAGCACUUGGCUAGCUAUUCUGUUCCCUUGCUUCAUCAUGCGCCUCUCCAAUAUUCACUCCGGCUAUGCGAGCAGCUGACCAUCUCCCCCGACCAAGGGCACCGUUAGGGUUACUGGUGAGUUCGUUGGGGGGGCUUCUUUUCAACAAUGAUACAUGGAACACCGAGUGGAUCUUGGAUUCUUCUGGUAGCUGCAGUCGAUACACCAUCUUUCCAAUCUUCUCCAUGAUUUUAAAAAGUCCGGAGUAUCGCACGAAGAGCUUCAGGUUUCGCCUAACUGCGACGCUCACUUACCGAUAAAGUUGCAGCUUUAGGAUUGCUCCCUAUGGAGCUAUGGGCGGCCUUGAGUUGAGACGGCAGAGCGGAUAUCAUCCUCAACAACUCCGCGUGCAGCCUUUGCUCUUCUUCUCUCGACUCCGCUAACUGAUGAGGCAACCUAUUGAUCCUUGUCUCAUGGUCCGUGCUCAGGUGCUCUAGGCGCUCUUCGAGGGAACUAACUUGGUCGCUUAGAUCCUUCAUUCUUUUGGCCCCUACCAUCUCUAUAUCUCUGGAUGUGAAUUUAAAUUUGUUCUGUCUUUUCUUCCCAAUGGUUGGUUGGCUAGUAAUAUUAUCGAACACUUGAUGCA
Molecule: long non-coding RNA, 768 nt
Organism: Ananas comosus (pineapple)
Lineage: Eukaryota; Viridiplantae; Streptophyta; Magnoliopsida; Poales; Bromeliaceae
Exons: 2
Source: RefSeq, a predicted model, not a curated record